CAGCCGCCGCGGUAAUACGGAGGGGGCUAGCGUUGUUCGGAAUUACUGGGCGUAAAGCGCACGUAGGCGGUUAUUCAAGUCAGAGGUGAAAGCCCGGGGCUCAACCCCGGAACUGCCUUUGAAACUAGAUGACUAGAAUCUUGGAGAGGCGAGUGGAAUUCCGAGUGUAGAGGUGAAAUUCGUAGAUAUUCGGAAGAACACCAGUGGCGAAGGCGACUCGCUGGACAAGUAUUGACGCUGAGGUGCGAAAGCGUGGGGAGCAAACAGGAUUAGAUACCCCCGUAGUCCCUGUCUCUUAUAC
RNAcentral lists this ribosomal RNA (301 nucleotides) under uncultured bacterium. RNAcentral's name for it is "partial 16S ribosomal RNA". It matches the Rfam family "Bacterial small subunit ribosomal RNA", at positions 509 to 807 of the family's 1533-position model. The record is from RNAcentral.